GAAAUGCGAUAAGUAAUGUGAAUUGCAGAAUUCAGUGAAUCAUCGAAUCUUUGAACGCACCUUGCGCUCCUUGGUAUUCAUUGGAGCAUGCCUGUUUGAGUAUCAUGAAAUCUUCAAAGUAAAUCUUUUGUUAACUCAAUUGGUUUCUACUUUGGUAUUGGAGGUCUUUGCAGCUUCACACCUGCUCCUCUUUGUUCAUUAGCUGGAUCUCAGUGUUAUGCUUGGUUCCACUCGGCGUGAUAAGUUAUCUAUCGCUGAGGACACUGUAAAAGGUGGCCAAGGUAAAUGCAGAUGAACCGCUUCUAAUAGUCCAUUGACUUGGACAAUACUUUUAUGAUCUGAUCUCAAAUCAGGUAGGACUACCCGCUGAACUUGAGC
RNAcentral lists this unclassified non-coding RNA (378 nucleotides) under plant metagenome. RNAcentral's name for it is "partial contains 5.8S ribosomal RNA, internal transcribed spacer 2, and large subunit ribosomal RNA". The stretch from base 1 to 105 matches the Rfam family "5.8S ribosomal RNA", at positions 50 to 154 of the family's 154-position model. The record is from RNAcentral.